RNAcentral lists this ribosomal RNA (504 nucleotides) under uncultured bacterium. RNAcentral's name for it is "partial 16S ribosomal RNA". It matches the Rfam family "Bacterial small subunit ribosomal RNA", at positions 30 to 523 of the family's 1533-position model. The record is from RNAcentral.
ACUGAACGCUGGCGGCAUGCCUUACACAUGCAAGUCGAACGGCAGCAUGGAGAGCUUGCUCUCUGAUGGCGAGUGGCGAACGGGUGAGUAAAGCAUCGGAACGUACCGUGUAGUGGGGGAUAACGUAGCGAAAGUUACGCUAAUACCGCAUACGCACUGAGGUGGAAAGCAGGGGAUCGUAAGACCUUGCGCUAUACGAGCGGCCGAUGUCAGAUUAGCUAGUUGGUAGGGUAAAGGCCUACCAAGGCGACGAUCUGUAGCGGGUCUGAGAGGAUGAUCCGCCACACUGGGACUGAGACACGGCCCAGACUCCUACGGGAGGCAGCAGUGGGGAAUUUUGGACAAUGGGGGCAACCCUGAUCCAGCCAUGCCGCGUGAGUGAAGAAGGCCUUCGGGUUGUAAAGCUCUUUCGGCCGGGAAGAAAUCGCACAGGCUAAUACCCUGUGUGGAUGACGGUACCGGCAUAAGAAGCACCGGCUAACUACGUGCCAGCAGCCGCGGUAA